UACGGAGGAUCCAAGCGUUAUCCGGAAUCAUUGGGUUUAAAGGGUCCGUAGGCGGGACAAUAAGUCAGUGGUGAAAGUCUGCAGCUCAACUGUAGAACUGCCAUUGAUACUGUUGUCCUUGAGUUACUGUGAAGUGGUUGGAAUAUGUAGUGUAGCGGUGAAAUGUAUAGAUAUUACAUAGAACACCGAUUGCGAAGGCAGAUCACUAAUAAUAUACUGACGCUGAGGUGCGAAAGCGUAGGUAGCGAACAGG
Molecule: unclassified non-coding RNA, 253 nt
Filed under: uncultured Flavobacteriaceae bacterium
Lineage: Bacteria; Pseudomonadati; Bacteroidota; Flavobacteriia; Flavobacteriales; Flavobacteriaceae
Description: contains 16S-23S intergenic spacer region
Rfam family: Bacterial small subunit ribosomal RNA
Source: RNAcentral